Molecule: ribosomal RNA, 951 nt
Filed under: Aleurodiscus amorphus
Lineage: Eukaryota; Fungi; Basidiomycota; Agaricomycetes; Russulales; Stereaceae
Description: eukaryotic LSU rRNA
Rfam family: Eukaryotic large subunit ribosomal RNA
Source: RNAcentral
CGCUGAACUUAAGCAUAUCAAUAAGCGGAGGAAAAGAAACUAACAAGGAUUCCCCUAGUAACUGCGAGUGAAGCGGGAAAAGCUCAAAUUUAAAAUCUGGCAGUUUCGGCUGUCCGAGUUGUAAUCUGGAGAAGCGUUUUCCGCGUUGGACCGUGUACAAGUUUCCUGGAACGGAGCGUCAUAGAGGGUGAGAAUCCCGUCUUUGACACGGACCCCAAUGCUUUGUGAUACGCUCUCAAAGAGUCGAGUUGUUUGGGAAUGCAGCUCAAAAUGGGUGGUGAAUUCCAUCUAAAGCUAAAUAUUGGCGAGAGACCGAUAGCGAACAAGUACCGUGAGGGAAAGAUGAAAAGCACUUUGGAAAGAGAGUUAAACAGUACGUGAAAUUGUUGAAAGGGAAACGCUUGAAGUCAGUCGCGUUGGCCGGGACUCAGCCUUGCAUCCGCUUGGUGUACUUUCCGGUCGACGGGCCAGCAUCAAUUUUGACCGCGGGAUAAAGUCCAGGGGAAGGUGGCUCUUCGGAGUGUUAUAGCCUCCGGUCACAUGCCGCGGUCGGGAUUGAGGAAUUCAGCACGCCUUUGAUUAGGUUCGGGGUUCGCCCACGUUCGUGCUUAGGAUGCUGGCGUAAUGGCUUUAAACGACCCGUCUUGAAACACGGACCAAGGAGUCUAACAUGCCUGCGAGUGUUCGGGUGGAAAACCCGUGCGCGUAAUGAAAGUGAAAGUUGGGAUCCCUGUCGUGGGGUGCACCGACGCCCGGACCAGAACUUCUGUGACGGAUCUGCGGUAGAGCAUGUAUGUUGGGACCCGAAAGAUGGUGAACUAUGCCUGAAUAGGGUGAAGCCAGAGGAAACUCUGGUGGAGGCUCGUAGCGAUUCUGACGUGCAAAUCGAUCGUCAAAUUUGGGUAUAGGGGCGAAAGACUAAUCGAACCAUCUAGUAGCUGGUUCCUGCCG